UCCACUUAAUUUGUAGUGUUGUUUGUUGCACUUUGCCAUGCCAUGCUUCUUUAAACCGGACAUGCAUCAUACUUGGUUGUGCAUCAUGCCAUGUUUAUGUGUUGGUUGUUUACUAUGUUGUUUGCUUCUUUCCGGUGUUGCUUCUUCGGGUUGGUUCCGAUAACGUCGCGUUUGUGAGGAUUCGUUCGACUACGUCCAUGUUUCUUCUUCAUGGACUCGUUCUUCUUCCUCGCGGGAUCCCAGGCAAGAUGACCAUACCCUCGAAAUCACUUCUAUCUUUGCUUGCUAGUUGCUCGCUCUAUUGCUAUGCCGCGAUAUCUACCACUUGGUAUAUCAUGCCUCCCAUAUUGCCAUGUCAAGCCUCUAACCCACAUUUCCUAGCAAACCUUUGUUUGACUAUGUUACCGCUUUUGCUCAGCCCCUCUUAUAGCGUUGUUAGUUGCAGGUGAAGAUGAAGUUUGUUCCAUGUUUGGAACAUGGUUAUGUUGGGAUAUCACAAUAUCUCUUGUUUAUAUUAAUGCAUCUAUAUACUUGGUAAAGGGUGGAAGGCUCGGCCUUAUGCCUGGUGUUUUGUUCCACUCUUGCCGCCCUAGUUUCCGCCAUACCGGUGUUAUGUUCCUUGAUUUUGCGUUCCUUACGCGGUUGGGUUAUAAUGGGAACCCCUUGACAGUUCCCUUGAAUAAAACUCCUCAAGCAAGGCCCAGCCUUGGUUUUACCAUUUGCCACCUAGCCUUUUUUCCCUUGGGUUUCCGGAGCCCGAGGGUCAUCUUUAUUUAAACCCCCCCGGGCCAGUGCUCCUUUGAGUGUUGGUCCAACCUGUCAGCCGCCGGUGGCCUCCAGGGGCAACUCUGGGUUGGCCUACCAGAAGUUUGGACAAUCUGGUGUGCCCUGAGAAUGAGAUAUGUGCAGCUCCUAUCGGGAUUUGUUGGCACAUCCGGGUGGCUUUGCUGGUCUUGUUUUACCAUUGUCGAAAUGUCUUGUAACCGGGAUUCCGAGUCUGAUCGGGUCUUCCUAGGAGAAGGAAUAUCCUUCGUUGACCAUGAGAACUUAUGAUGGGCUAAGUUUGGACACCCAUGCAGGGUUUUGAACUUUCGAAAGCCAUGCCCGCGGUUAUGGGCAGAUGGGAAUUUGUUAAUGUCCGGUUGUAGAGAACUUGACACUUAACUUAAUUAAAAUGCAUCUACCGCGGUUGUAGCCGUGAUGGUCUCUUUCCGGCGGAGUCCGGGAAGUGAACACGGUUCUUGUGUUAUGCUUGAACGUAAGUAGUUUCAGGAUCAAUUCUUGAUCACUUCUAGUUCACGACCGUGCAUUGCUUCUCUUCUCGCUCUUAUUUGCGUAGUUUUAGCCACCAUAUAUGCUAGUGCUUGCUGCAGCUCCACCUCACUACCCUUUCAUACCCAUAAGGUUAAAUAGUCUUGAUCUCGCGGGUGUGAGAUUGUUGAGUACUCGUGGCUCACAGAUUACUUACAAAACCAAUUGUAGGUGUCGUUGAUACCAAUGCAGAUGACGCAGCUGAGCUCAACUGGGAGCUCGAUGAAGAUCAUGUUCGUUGUGUUGUUUCGUUUCCAGUUGAUCAGUAGUGGAGCCCAGUCGGGGCGAUCGGGGAUCUAGCAUUAGGGGUGGUCUUCUUUUAUUUUGGUUCCGUAGUCGGACAUUGAUUGUAUUCUGGAUGAUGUAAUGCUAUAUUUAUGUAUUGUGUGAAGUGGCGAUUGUAAGCCAACUCUUUAUCCCUUUCUUAUUCAGUACAUGGGAUGUGUAAAGAUUAUCCCUCUUGCGACAUGCCUACAAUGCGGUUAUGCCUCUAAGUCAUGCUCCGACACGUGGGAGAUAUAGCCGCAUCGUGGGUGUUACAACUGUACACACUCAGUUUACUGUUGAAUCCAGUUCCCCAAGAGCUAAAAAAC
This 1904-nucleotide long non-coding RNA is filed under the name Triticum aestivum (bread wheat). Its description in RNAcentral is "long non-coding RNA (TAES_LNC025647)". The record is from RNAcentral. Lineage: Eukaryota; Viridiplantae; Streptophyta; Magnoliopsida; Poales; Poaceae.